AACCAGACUCCUACGGGAGGCAGCAGUGGGGAAUAUUGGGCAAUGGGCGCAAGCCUGACCCAGCAACGCCGCGUGAAGGAAGAAGGCUUUCGGGUUGUAAACUUCUUUUCUCAGGGACGAAUAGAUGACGGUACCUGAGGAAUAAGCCACGGCUAACUACGUGCCAGCAGCCGCGGUAAUACGUAGGUGGCAAGCGUUAUCCGGAUUUACUGGGUGUAAAGGGCGUGUAGGCGGGGACGCAAGUCAGAUGUGAAACCCACGGGCUCAACCUGUGGCCUGCAUUUGAAACUGUGUUUCUUGAGUACUGGAGAGGCAGGCGGAAUUCCUAGUGUAGCGGUGAAAUGCGUAGAUAUUAGGAGGACCACCAGUGGCGAAGGCGGUCUGCUGGCCAGCAACUGACGCUGAGGCGCGAAAGCGUGGGGAGCAAACAGGAUUAGAUCCCCUGGUA
This 448-nucleotide ribosomal RNA is filed under the name uncultured bacterium. Its description in RNAcentral is "bacterial SSU rRNA". It matches the Rfam family "Bacterial small subunit ribosomal RNA", at positions 329 to 792 of the family's 1533-position model. The record is from RNAcentral.